AUUGAACGCUGGCGGCAUGCCUUACACAUGCAAGUCGAACGGCAGCACGGGAGCAAUCCUGGUGGCGAGUGGCGAACGGGUGAGUAAUAUAUCGGAACGUGCCCAGUCGUGGGGGAUAACGUAGCGAAAGCUACGCUAAUACCGCAUACGAUCUACGGAUGAAAGCGGGGGGAUCGCAAGACCUCGCGCGAUUGGAGCGGCCGAUAUCAGAUUAGGUAGUUGGUGAGGUAAAGGCUCACCAAGCCGACGAUCUGUAGCUGGUCUGAGAGGACGACCAGCCACACUGGGACUGAGACACGGCCCAGACUCCUACGGGAGGCAGCAGUGGGGAAUUUUUGGACAAUGGGCGCAAGCCUGAUCCAGCAAUGCCGCGUGCAGGAUGAAGGCCU
This 389-nucleotide ribosomal RNA is filed under the name uncultured bacterium. RNAcentral describes it as "bacterial SSU rRNA". It matches the Rfam family "Bacterial small subunit ribosomal RNA", at positions 30 to 417 of the family's 1533-position model. The record is from RNAcentral.